RNAcentral lists this ribosomal RNA (460 nucleotides) under uncultured bacterium. Its description in RNAcentral is "partial 16S ribosomal RNA". It matches the Rfam family "Bacterial small subunit ribosomal RNA", at positions 338 to 795 of the family's 1533-position model. The record is from RNAcentral.
CCUACGGGAGGCAGCAGUGAGGAAUAUUGGUCAAUGGCCGAGAGGCUGAACCAGCCAAGUAGCGUGAGGGAAGACUGCCCUAUGGGUUGUAAACCUCUUUUAUGCGGGGAUAAAGUGUUCCACGUGUGGAUUUUUGCAUGUACCUCAUGAAUAAGGACCGGCUAAUUCCGUGCCAGCAGCCGCGGUAAUACGGAGGGUCCGGGCGUUAUCCGGAUUUAUUGGGUUUAAAGGGAGCGUAGGCGGGUUGUUAAGCGUGCCGUGAAAUUUUGUGGCUCAACCAUGAGAGUGCGGCGCGAACUGGAGACCUUGAGUGCGGGGAAGGCAGGCGGAAUUCGUGGUGUAGCGGUGAAAUGCUUAGAUAUCACGAAGAACCCCGAUUGCGAAGGCAGCCUGCCGAAGCGUGACUGACGCUGAAGCUCGAAAGCGUGGGUAUCGAACAGGAUUAGAUACCCGAGUAGUC